CCUAUGGGUGGCAGCAGUGGGGAAUAUUGGACAAUGGGCGAAAGCCUGAUCCAGCCAUGCCGCGUGUGUGAAGAAGGCCUUCGGGUUGUAAAGCACUUUCAGUGGGGAAGAAAGCCUUGGGGCUAAUACCCUCGAGGAAGGACAUCACCCACAGAAGAAGCACCGGCUAACUCCGUGCCAGCAGCCGCGGUAAUACGGAGGGUGCGAGCGUUAAUCGGAAUUACUGGGCGUAAAGCGCGCGUAGGCGGUCUGAUAAGCCGGUUGUGAAAGCCCCGGGCUCAACCUGGGAACGGCAUCCGGAACUGUCAGGCUAGAGUGCAGGAGAGGAAGGUAGAAUUCCCGGUGUAGCGGUGAAAUGCGUAGAGAUCGGGAGGAAUACCAGUGGCGAAGGCGGCCUUCUGGACUGACACUGACGCUGAGGUGCGAAAGCGUGGGUAGCAAACAGGAUUAGAUACCCCUGUAGUC
This 465-nucleotide ribosomal RNA is filed under the name Vreelandella stevensii. Its description in RNAcentral is "partial 16S ribosomal RNA". It matches the Rfam family "Bacterial small subunit ribosomal RNA", at positions 338 to 795 of the family's 1533-position model. The record is from RNAcentral. Lineage: Bacteria; Pseudomonadati; Pseudomonadota; Gammaproteobacteria; Oceanospirillales; Halomonadaceae.